RNAcentral lists this microRNA precursor (67 nucleotides) under Rhinopithecus bieti (black snub-nosed monkey). Its description in RNAcentral is "miRNA (ENSRBIG00000012175.1)". Lineage: Eukaryota; Metazoa; Chordata; Mammalia; Primates; Cercopithecidae. The record is from RNAcentral.
ACCCAGGAGGUGGAGCAGGUGGAGGUUGCAGUGAGCCAAGAUCGUGCCACUGCACUCCAGCCUGGGG